Long non-coding RNA from Amblyraja radiata (thorny skate), 156 nucleotides. RefSeq lists it as uncharacterized. The transcript has 3 exons. NCBI's taxonomy places the organism in Eukaryota, Metazoa, Chordata, Chondrichthyes, Rajiformes, Rajidae. The record is from RefSeq and is a predicted model, not a curated record.
CUUCAGUCCCAUCAGUCCACCCAACACCAUUUCCUGCCUAAUAUGAAUUUUCUUCCGUUCCUCCGUCACCACAAAUCCUCUGGCCACUAGUACAUCAGGAAGAUUGUUUGUGUCCUCCUCAGUGAAGACGGAUCCAAAGUCCCAGUUCAACUCAUC